GUCUAAGUAUAAGCAACUAUACGGUGAAACUGCGAAUGGCUCAUUAAAUCAGUUAUCGUUUAUUUGAUAGUACCUUACUACAUGGAUAACCGUGGUAAUUCUAGAGCUAAUACAUGCUAAAAACCCCGACUUCGGAAGGGGUGUAUUUAUUAGAUAAAAAACCAAUGCCCUUCGGGGCUCCUUGGUGAAUCAUAAUAACUUAACGAAUCGCAUGGCCUUGCGCCGGCGAUGGUUCAUUCAAAUUUCUGCCCUAUCAACUUUCGAUGGUAGGAUAGUGGCCUACCAUGGUAUCAACGGGUAACGGGGAAUUAGGGUUCGACUCCGGAGAGGGAGCCUGAGAAACGGCUACCACAUCCAAGGAAGGCAGCAGGCGCGCAAAUUACCCAAUCCCGACACGGGGAGGUAGUGACAAUAAAUACUGAUACAGGGCUCUUUUGGGUCUUGUAAUUGGAAUGAGUACAAUUUAAAUCCCUUAACGAGGAACAAUUGGAGGGCAAGUCUGGUGCCAGCAGCCGCGGUAAUUCCAGCUCCAAUAGCGUAUAUUAAAGUUGUUGCAGUUAAAAAGCUCGUAGUUGAACCUUGGGCCUGGCUGGCCGGUCCGCCUCACCGCGUGUACUGGUCCGGCCGGGCCUUUCCUUCUGGGGAACCUCAUGCCCUUCACUGGGCGUGCUGGGGAACCAGGACUUUUACUUUGAAAAAAUUAGAGUGUUCAAAGCAGGCCUUUGCUCGAAUACAUUAGCAUGGAAUAAUAGAAUAGGACGUGUGGUUCUAUUUUGUUGGUUUCUAGGACCGCCGUAAUGAUUAAUAGGGAUAGUCGGGGGCAUCAGUAUUCAAGCGUCAGAGGUGAAAUUCUUGGAUUGCUUGAAGACUAACUACUGCGAAAGCAUUUGCCAAGGAUGUUUUCAUUAAUCAGUGAACGAAAGUUAGGGGAUCGAAGACGAUCAGAUACCGUCGUAGUCUUAACCAUAAACUAUGCCGACUAGGGAUCGGACGGUGUUAGUAUUUUGACCCGUUCGGCACCUUACGAGAAAUCAAAGUUUUUGGGUUCUGGGGGGAGUAUGGUCGCAAG
This 1069-nucleotide ribosomal RNA is filed under the name Cladosporium halotolerans. RNAcentral describes it as "SSU rRNA". It matches the Rfam family "Eukaryotic small subunit ribosomal RNA", at positions 57 to 1135 of the family's 1831-position model. The record is from RNAcentral. Lineage: Eukaryota; Fungi; Ascomycota; Dothideomycetes; Cladosporiales; Cladosporiaceae.